Arabidopsis lyrata subsp. lyrata is the source of this 2688-nucleotide long non-coding RNA. RefSeq lists it as uncharacterized. The transcript has 16 exons. Lineage: Eukaryota; Viridiplantae; Streptophyta; Magnoliopsida; Brassicales; Brassicaceae. The record is from RefSeq and is a predicted model, not a curated record.
UGCUUUGGUUUAAGGGUUGAAGAAACACUCUUCAAACGGUCAAAAACUCAAAAUCGAAACGAGUGAUAUAACUCUGCGUAAGCCUUGGAGACCAAGAGUCUUUUAAAUUCACAAAAGUCUCAGUUUUGGAUUUCGAAUUCUGACCGUUGGGCUCUCAGACGCUCUACCAAAUUUUGACAUCUCCAUCUCCGGCGAAAUAAUUGAGAAGCGUUGAAGCAGAAAAGUUAGAUCGUCGAGCCUCCGUUGUAACCGAUCUCAGCGAAGGGGAAAGAAACGAAGUCGUUGGAGAACGAUCUAGUGGAGUAGGAGGCGAUGUUGAAGAAGAUGAAGAACGAGAAGCAGAAGACGGUGGAUUUUCUGACGGAGUAAAGACGAGAUCAUGCGGAAGAAGAGGAAGGUAAAGUCACGAUCGUGUUCAACGCUAUAACAAUACUUUCUGGGUUCUUCUUUAUAUGUUCGGAGGUCAAUUCGCGAUUCGUUUUAAAGGGGUUAACAUCGAUCGAUAGAUGCAAAAUCGAGGAUUCAUUAUCUUCAGAGGAUGAUCAGAGCUUUGACACUGGUGGUUAAGCCACUACGCAGAGAGUUCAAAUCUUGAUUUCACUAAACGAAGUGACCGAGGAGAUAGGUUUUAGUUUCUGCUAGUGAGACGGACUGAGAUCUUUGGCAUGUGGAGGUAUAGAGGGAGUUGGCCAAACUGGAAAGUGAGUUGAGAAGUGCUGGCUAGGCUUCGGUCGUUUCCGGCACAACUGGAAGGACCUCACCAUGUUAAGAUCUUAGGAAAUAAGUUGUACCAUGAACUCACUAUUAUGACUAUCUUCUUUGCUAAAGAAAGAGGUAGUCCAACUACACGACAAGUGGAGCAAGCCGCACCAGAAAAAGAGACACUAUCAACAUACCCAGUAGAGUAAAAUGUUCCGAUGGAACAUCAAUACCUCAAGCUGAGGGUGUGCAUUACAGGGGACUCUGAGAAUACAACACAAACUAAGCUCACUGCUCUAGAAUAUCUCCACGAAAUCCUACAUUAGAAUGUGAGAUAAUGAUUUCAGGAUAGAAUUUGCAUCAAGUAAGAUUGCUAUGCGGGUCAGAGCAGAGAGGCCUUCAUGGUAUCCGGCUGUUAUCAGUGGACCACUCUAUCAUCCAUGACCAGUGCUUCUGUGGUUUUGGAUUACGUUAUGUCUUGAGAAGUAAGGAAUUCCUCCAGAGCAUAUAUCUCUUGUGCAUUCUCAAGUGUCUUUGAAUAUUACAGGAAGUAAAUAUACGGUAUGCGUAUAGUAUCAAAGCACUAAACAUGUAGUUUUACCAAGGCUCACUAGCCCGAACAGAACUAGAAGUUGAAAAAUUUAGAAGUUGUAUCAGAAAUACAUGAAGUUGGACGGUAAUCUGUCUUCUCAUUGACAGAAGAACUUGUUUACUACAAACAACAGGCUGGUGAACUUAUAGCCAAGCUUGAUCUUGAUGAUCCUUCUGCUGAAAGAAAGGAAGCUUCGAAACAUAAUUGCCGGCUAUGAACAUAACAUAUAUAAGAUAAACACAAUUUCUUUUUCUAAUUUGAUCAAAAUUUCUAUUAGAAAAUUUGACUUUGAAACAUAUCUUCCAGGUUGUUUAAGAGAGACUUAAUCGCCUUGAUAUCUAUAAACUCCUAUUUUUAGUGGCAAGAGUACGUUGCAGUUUUGGCGACACGACUACCUAAAGAUCUCAGGAACAUAUAUGUUUUGCAUCAGGUCAUGAGAGAUAAAAACCGCUCACUGUUCUAUUCACAAAUUGAAGGACAUUUAUGUUCAUGAUCUUUCCCAGAGAAGAACAUAAAUUAUUUUCAGAAAUGGCGGGUGAAGUUUCAGUAACUAGGACAUGUUCAGCUCCUCUUUCUUCUGGUGGGCUUGGUUGUCUUCCAGUCCCAUACAUUUUUCAGCUCAUCAUUAUUGGAAACAAAGCUGACAAGGAAGGAACAAAUGGAAGCAGUGGCAAUCUUGUUGAUGGGUUGAGAAGCAAUGUCUAAAUCCCCACAAUCUAGUUGAUGGGUUGUUGGUGGUCUCAUAAUGUUGGACGAGGACCAAGAUUCUUAAAGAGGAAGAAGUGAGUUUUAGCCUCUGUCCUGCAGGUGCAUGUGUAAUGAGUUGUAUUAUUCAGCAAGAUGAAGUAUGAACACCAUUGAGACAUUAUCCAUCCGCCAAUGAAGAAGAGCCAAUAAAGCUGGUAGAACUUCAAUAAAGCUGGACAGAACAGAGGAGAAUGCUCCUCAAAUAAAAUGACAAGCAAAACAUACUGUCAUGUAGGCAGAUGGAGGAAAUGGAACAGAAGUUCUUGGCCUUAAGUUCAACAAAGAGUUUCAAGGACACAACGAUGAACACGAUACAAGACUAUUCAGACACACCCUUGAAGUGGAGAAUAAUAGAGCUUUUACAUGUGUGUAACGUCUCUAAUUGCUCUUAACAUCUACUCCGUGAUUCUAUAGAGAGAAGAUCAGAAAGAUGGUUUGUACUUGGAAGUAGACAGCAGACUCAACUACAUCAGAGAAUCCUUGGCCCAAAAUAGCAACAAUGGACCCCCCUGACACUAAUCUCCAGUUUUUCGCAGACUACAACUCAAAGCUUUUUGAAUCAAGUAAUUAUAUAAGAAGACGGGCAAGCUAUUAAGUUGUUGGAUGAUAUAUUGUUAGAAGAAUAUAUAAAAAGGAUGAAUGAUGAAGAA